UACAGAGGUCUCAAGCGUUGUUCGGAUUCAUUGGGCGUAAAGGGUGCGUAGGUGGCGGGGUAAGUCAGGUGUGAAAUUUCGGAGCUUAACUCCGAAACUGCAUUUGAUACUGCCUUGCUUGAGGACUGGAGAGGAGACUGGAAUUCACGGUGUAGCAGUGAAAUGCGUAGAUAUCGUGAGGAAGACCAGCGGCGAAGGCGGGUCUCUGGACAGUUCCUGACACUGAGGCACGAAGGCCAGGGGAGCAAACGGG
Molecule: ribosomal RNA, 253 nt
Filed under: uncultured bacterium
Lineage: Bacteria
Description: partial 16S ribosomal RNA
Rfam family: Bacterial small subunit ribosomal RNA
Source: RNAcentral